GAUGAACGCUAGCUACAGGCUUAACACAUGCAAGUCGAGGGACCGGCUCACGGGUGAGUAACACGUCUCCAACCUGCCCUUUACUCUGUGAUAUCCUUUCGAAAGACAGAUUAAUACCCGAUAUAACGGAUGGGGGUGCGUUCCAUUAGGUUGUUGGUGAGGUAACGGCUCACCAAGCCUUCGAUGGAUAGGGGUUCUGAGAGGAAGGUCACCAACAGUGGAACUGAGACACGGUCCAAACUCCUACGGGAGGCAGCAGUGAGGAAUAGUGGUCAAUGGGAGCUAGCCUGAACCAGCCAAGUAGCGUGAAGGAUGAAGGCUUAUGGGUCGUAAACUUAUUUUAGAUAAGAAUAUGUAGUAUAGGAAUAAGGAUCGGCUAACUCCGUGCCAGCAGCCGCGGUAAUUC
This 406-nucleotide ribosomal RNA is filed under the name uncultured bacterium. RNAcentral's name for it is "partial 16S ribosomal RNA". It matches the Rfam family "Bacterial small subunit ribosomal RNA", at positions 28 to 526 of the family's 1533-position model. The record is from RNAcentral.